Molecule: long non-coding RNA, 281 nt
Organism: Pygocentrus nattereri (red-bellied piranha)
Lineage: Eukaryota; Metazoa; Chordata; Actinopteri; Characiformes; Serrasalmidae
Exons: 3
Source: RefSeq, a predicted model, not a curated record
GACUUGGCAGAGAGGUUAUCUGUCCCUCGCUGACCGUCCCUGCCUGUCCGCUGCAGAGAGAACAGAGAUCUGUUAGGGAGGGGAGACGUAUUUGUCCCUGAUUCUAAUUCGAAUUUUAGAGAGUGUCUGUGGGAAUUUGUACUCAUUCAGUCAAAAGAGUAUUUGUAAGGCAGACAUUGGAUGAGAAGGUCUGUCUCACAAUCGGCGUUCUACUUCAUCUCCAAAGUGUUCAAUGAGACUGAGAUCAGACUGUCCAGGAGUUGGCGGCUGCUUUAGUCCAG